Molecule: ribosomal RNA, 316 nt
Filed under: uncultured eukaryote
Lineage: Eukaryota
Description: partial large subunit ribosomal RNA
Rfam family: Eukaryotic large subunit ribosomal RNA
Source: RNAcentral
AUAUCAAUAAGCGGAGGAAAAGAAACUAACAAGGAUUCCCCUAGUAACUGCGAGUGAAGCGGGAAGAGCUCAAAUUUAAAAUCUGGCGUGCCUCUGGUCGUCCGAGUUGUAGUCUAGAGAAGUGUUUUCCGUGUUGGACCGUGUAUAAGUCUCUUGGAACAGGGCGUCAUAGAGGGUGAGAAUCCCGUCUUUAAUCCGGAGUUCGGGGCGUACGAAGGGUGUUCAAAGAGUCGAAUAGCUUGGGAGUGCUGUUCUAAAUGGGUGGUAAAUUUCAUCUAAAGCUAAAUAUCGCCAGGAGACCGAUAGCGCACAAGUA